CAGUAAAUGGAAGCGCUGAACACUGAUUAUUUUGCUUCUGUGUGACUCGAGAAAGAGAAAGGAGAGAAGAAUUAAGUACAGCUAAAGGAAUUUACAUUUCUUUUGGAGAAGUUUGCAGAGGGACCACGUAAACGAAAUGAAUUUCUUUUUUGCAAGAAAUCAUCAUUAUUUAUUGAAUUGGAAAGCUAGCAGACUGAUGGUCCCCUGGG
Molecule: long non-coding RNA, 209 nt
Filed under: Gallus gallus (chicken)
Lineage: Eukaryota; Metazoa; Chordata; Aves; Galliformes; Phasianidae
Source: RNAcentral